CCUUAUCCUGUGUGUAUAAAAUUAAGUCUAGAGUAGUAGUAGUUAGGGUCUUGAAACUCAAAGAAUUUGGCGGUACUGUAGUCUUUUCAGAGGAAUCUGUCCUGUAAUUGAUAAUACNCGNUUUGUUGUACUUUAUNUUGUGUAGUUUGUAUACCGCCGUCAUAAGAUUAUUUUGUUUGAGAGGGNUAAUUUUCUGGAUAUGUAUUGUGUAUAGGAUGUCAGGNCAAGGUGCAGCNUAUAGUGAAGAAGAGAUGGAUUNCAAUAGCUUUAGUUAUAUGGAUNGUGUGGUUUUAAAAGGAAUAUAGGAAAGUGGAUUUGAUUGUAAGUUUAUUAUUGAUAGUCNGGUUUUGGCUCU
This 355-nucleotide ribosomal RNA is filed under the name Aclella nova. RNAcentral's name for it is "partial 12S ribosomal RNA". Lineage: Eukaryota; Metazoa; Arthropoda; Insecta; Orthoptera; Phalangopsidae. The record is from RNAcentral.